GAUGAACGCUGGCGGCGUGCCUAAUACAUGCAAGUCGAGCGAACAGACGAGGAGCUUGCUCCUCUGACGUUAGCGGCGGACGGGUGAGUAACACGUGGAUAACCUACCUAUAAGACUGGGAUAACUUCGGGAAACCGGAGCUAAUACCGGAUAAUAUAUUGAACCGCAUGGUUCAAUAGUGAAAGACGGUUUUGCUGUCACUUAUAGAUGGAUCCGCGCCGCAUUAGCUAGUUGGUAAGGUAACGGCUUACCAAGGCAACGAUGCGUAGCCGACCUGAUAGGGUGAUCGGCCACACUGGAACUGAGACACGGUCCAGACUCCUACGGGAGGCAGCAGUAGGGAAUCUUCCGCAAUGGGCGAAAGCCUGACGGAGCAACGCCGCGUGAGUGAUGAAGGUCUUCGGAUCGUAAAACUCUGUUAUUAGGGAAGAACAAAUGUGUAAGUAACUAUGCACGUCUUGACGGUACCUAAUCAGAAAGCCACGGCUAACUACGUG
RNAcentral lists this ribosomal RNA (497 nucleotides) under uncultured bacterium. Its description in RNAcentral is "partial 16S ribosomal RNA". It matches the Rfam family "Bacterial small subunit ribosomal RNA", at positions 28 to 507 of the family's 1533-position model. The record is from RNAcentral.